CACGGCCCAGACUCCUACGGGAGGCAGCAGUGGGGGAAUAUUGGACAAUGGGGGGCAACCCUGAUCCAGCAAUGCCGCGUGAGUGAUGAAGGCCUCGGUUGUAAAGACUCUUUCGUCCCACGACGAUGAUGACGGUAGUGGGAGAAGAAGCCCCGGCUAACUUCGUGCCAGCAGCCGCGGUAAUACGAAGGGGGCUAGCGUUGUUCGGAAUGACUGGGCGUAAAGGGCGCGUAGGCGGCGCAUCAAGUCGGGCGUGAAAGCCCCGGGCUCAACCUGGGAACUGCGUUCGAGACUGGUGUGCUAGAGUUCGGGAGAGGAGAGUGGAAUUCCCAGUGUAGAGGUGAAAUUCGUAGAUAUUGGGAAGAACACCAAUGGCGAAGGCAGCUCUCUGGACCGAUACUGACGCUGAGGCGCGAAAGCGUGGGGAGCAAAACAGGAUUAGAUACCCUGGUAGUCCACGCCGUAAACGAUGAAUGCUAGACGUUGGGACCCCUAGGG
RNAcentral lists this ribosomal RNA (498 nucleotides) under uncultured bacterium. RNAcentral's name for it is "bacterial SSU rRNA". It matches the Rfam family "Bacterial small subunit ribosomal RNA", at positions 325 to 837 of the family's 1533-position model. The record is from RNAcentral.